UGUACCAGUGUCGCCAGUAUUGCCACAGAGAGAAAACAAAGACUGUUGAUCAUCAAAAAUCUAAAGAUAGCAAAGAGUCGUCGCCGUCGAUGGGCGCGGCGUGGGAGACGCUGGUGCUGUUCGCGGUCAACUUCACGCGUCUCAACGUACACAUGAACAUGGGCAAUGUCAUGGGCAACGUCAGCUGGCAGUCGCGCGACUUCAACUGCUCGGGGCGGCUGAGUAUCGGCAGCACGGGGCACCGCAACAUGUUGCUCGGCGUGGCGCUGCAGC
Long non-coding RNA from Manduca sexta (tobacco hornworm), 273 nucleotides. RefSeq lists it as uncharacterized. Lineage: Eukaryota; Metazoa; Arthropoda; Insecta; Lepidoptera; Sphingidae. The record is from RefSeq and is a predicted model, not a curated record. The transcript is spliced from 3 exons.